This 1887-nucleotide ribosomal RNA is filed under the name Actinomyces timonensis DSM 23838. Its description in RNAcentral is "bacterial LSU rRNA". It matches the Rfam family "Bacterial large subunit ribosomal RNA", at positions 1212 to 2925 of the family's 2925-position model. The record is from RNAcentral. Lineage: Bacteria; Bacillati; Actinomycetota; Actinomycetes; Actinomycetales; Actinomycetaceae.
CAGGGGUGGUGGGUGGUAGGGGAGCGUCCCGCGCCGGGUGAAGCCCCGGGGUGACCCAGGGGUGGACGGCGUGGGAGUGAGAAUGCAGGCAUGAGUAGCGAUACUAGGGUGGGAAGCCCUAGCGCCGAAUGACCAAGGGUUCCAGGGCCAGGCUAGUCCGCCCUGGGUGAGUCGGGACCUAAGGCGAGGCCGACAGGCGUAGUCGAUGGACGACGGGUUGAUAUUCCCGUACCGGUGCAGCACCGCCCAUGCUGACGCGCGGGUGCUGACCCACGCCCCACGCCACGUCGACCGCUGGGUCGUUCCUUCGGGGGCGCCUGGUGGUUGUGGUGGGGGGUCUGGGGACCCUCCGCGCUGGUAGGCAAGCGUAUUAACAGGGGUGACGCGCAGUGGUAGCCCCGCGGGCCUGAUGGCUUGGCCCGUUCAAGCGCGCAGCCCGGUCCCCAGGCAAAUCCGGGGGCCUCCGCCCGAUCGGGUGGGAGGGUGAGGCGUGAUGGUGACCCCACAGAUGGUGGGGGAUAGCAGGGUGAUCCUGUGGCGCCGAGAAAAGCCCCGGCGCGAGGUGCGAGCCGCCCGUACCCUAAACCGACACAGGUGGUCGGGCAGAGUAUGCCUAGGCGCACGAGUGAAUCAUGGUGAAGGAACUCGGCAAAAUGCCCCCGUAACCUCGGGAGAAGGGGGGCCCGAGCCCUGAAGCCCCGUCGCGGGCUAGGGGGGAGGGCCGCAGAGACCAGGGGGAAGCGACUGUUUACUAAAAACACAGGUCCGUGCGAAGCCGCAAGGCGAUGUAUACGGACUGACGCCUGCCCGGUGCUGGAAGGUUAAGAGGAUCCGUCAGCCCCCCAGUGGGGUGAAGCGGUGAAUUCAAGCCCCAGUAAACGGCGGUGGUAACUAUAACCAUCCUAAGGUAGCGAAAUUCCUUGUCGGGUAAGUUCCGACCUGCACGAAUGGCGUAACGACUUCCCCGCUGUCUCCACCAUGAGCUCGGCGAAAUUGCAGUACGAGUAAAGAUGCUCGUUUCGCGCAGAAGGACGGAAAGACCCCGGGACCUUUACUAUAGCUUGGUAUUGGCGCCCGCUAUGGCUUGUGCAGGAUAGGUGGGAGACUGUGAGGCCAUCACGCCAGUGGUGGUGGAGUCGUCGUUGAAAUACCACUCUGGCCAUGGCGUGCGCCUGAACCUGGGCCCGUGAUCCGGGUCAGGGACAGUGCCUGGUGGGUAGUUUAACUGGGGCGGUUGCCUCCUAAAGUGUAACGGAGGCGCUCAAAGGUCCCCUCAGCCUGGUCGGCAACCAGGUGUUGAGUGCAAGUGCACAAGGGGGCUUGACUGCGAGACCGACGGGUCGAGCAGGUGCGAAAGCAGGAACUAGUGAUCCGGCGAUCCCGUGUGGGUGGGUCGUCGCUCAACGGAUAAAAGGUACCCCGGGGAUAACAGGCUGAUCCUGCCCAAGAGUCCAUAUCGACGGCAUGGUUUGGCACCUCGAUGUCGGCUCGUCGCAUCCUGGGGCUGGAGCAGGUCCCAAGGGUUGGGCUGUUCGCCCAUUAAAGCGGUACGCGAGCUGGGUUUAGAACGUCGUGAGACAGUUCGGUCCCUAUCCUCUGCGCGCGCAGGAUACUUGAGAAGGCCUGUCCCUAGUACGAGAGGACCGGGACGGACGAACCUCUGGUGUGCCAGUUGUCCCGCCAGGGGCACGGCUGGUUGGCUACGUUCGGGACGGGUAACCGCUGAAAGCAUCUAAGCGGGAAACCAUCUUCAAGAUGAGGUAUCCACACCAUCCCUUCGGGGUGGUGGGAGGCCCCCAGUAGACCACUGGGUUGAUAGACCAGGAGUGGACAGCCCGCAAGGGCCAUUCGAGCUGACUGGCACUAAUCGGCCGACACAAACAACAC